This 467-nucleotide ribosomal RNA is filed under the name uncultured bacterium. Its description in RNAcentral is "partial 16S ribosomal RNA". It matches the Rfam family "Bacterial small subunit ribosomal RNA", at positions 28 to 506 of the family's 1533-position model. The record is from RNAcentral.
GACGAACGCUGGCGGCGUGCUUAACACAUGCAAGUCGAACGGAAAGGCCCUGCUUUUGUGGGGUGCUCGAGUGGCGAACGGGUGAGUAACACGUGAGUAACCUGCCCUUGACUUUGGGAUAACUUCAGGAAACUGGGGCUAAUACCGGAUAGGAGCUCCUGCUGCAUGGUGGGGGUUGGAAAGUUUCGGCGGUUGGGGAUGGACUCGCGGCUUAUCAGCUUGUUGGUGGGGUAGUGGCUUACCAAGGCUUUGACGGGUAGCCGGCCUGAGAGGGUGACCGGCCACAUGGGGACUGAGAUACGGCCCAGACUCCUACGGGAGGCAGCAGUGGGGAAUAUUGCACAAUGGGCGGAAGCCUGAUGCAGCAACGCCGCGUGCGGGAUGACGGCCUUCGGGUUGUAAACCGCUUUCGCCUGUGACGAAGCGUGAGUGACGGUAAUGGGUAAAGAAGCACCGGCUAACUACGG